This 301-nucleotide ribosomal RNA is filed under the name uncultured bacterium. Its description in RNAcentral is "partial 16S ribosomal RNA". It matches the Rfam family "Bacterial small subunit ribosomal RNA", at positions 509 to 809 of the family's 1533-position model. The record is from RNAcentral.
CAGUCGCCGCGGGAAUACGAAGGGGGCUAGCGUUGCUCGGAAUGACUGGGCGUAAAGGGCGCGUAGGCGGCGAUCAAAGUCAGGCGUGAAAUUCCUGGGCUCAACCUGGGGGCUGCGUUUGAUACUUGAUUGCUAGAGUGGGGAAGAGGGUCGUGGAAUUCCCAGUGUAGAGGUGAAAUUCGUAGAUAUUGGGAAGAACACCGGUGGCGAAGGCGGCGACCUGGUCCUUGACUGACGCUGAGGCGCGAAAGCGUGGGGAGCAAACAGGAUUAGAUACCCCGGUAGUCCCUGUCUCUUAUAA